This 712-nucleotide long non-coding RNA is filed under the name Brachypodium distachyon (stiff brome). Its description in RNAcentral is "long non-coding RNA (BDIS_LNC001370)". The record is from RNAcentral. Lineage: Eukaryota; Viridiplantae; Streptophyta; Magnoliopsida; Poales; Poaceae.
CCAUGCUGCCGAGAACACGAAUUAAUCAACACGGUCGACCCAUCGCCCACCGACACGACUACAUUCCGCUCCUGGCCGUCCUCUUUCUGGCCACGUACGUGUUGGUUCCAAACACGACGAGACGAAAUUCUCUGAAUUCCAAAAGUAAAAAAAAAAGGAAAAAGAAAAAGGAUUGAAAUUAUCUGGUGGUUGAGGGUUCAAAUCCGCGAGAUAUUGUUCGGAUUCCUGCCCGAGCGAUCGUGCCAACAAAUCCUUCUCUAUACCCGCACUAGAUACCAGUAUACCACAUACGGAGUACUCGUGUUCUCAGUAUUUCUCCGUCGAACCAUAUCAUUACCAGCUUUAUCAUUUCCCCACUGGACUCCAUGUCAUACAAGGACACGGUGUGUCGGCGUCAACACGGAGUAAAACAUCAUCACGGCAUUAUACCAAUUAAUUGCCACAAGCUGGCAAGAACAGCACCAUCGGCGGCAUUACCGUUUGCCAGAAGCUAGCAAGAACAACAAGCAAACAAUGUCGACUCGACCCGUAUGAUACAGCCUCUUGCUGGACCAUAAACGGCACCACAGACGUCACUGGAGCGCUCGGGUGCCUUUUGUUCCCGAUCGGCACCCGCCGUGCGGCGGGGCCCAAGCAGAACGAUGCUUGUCCCGGUAUGCACGAACAGAGCCCUCGCGAGGAGGACCACACGUACACACGCACGACCACACGU